This 497-nucleotide ribosomal RNA is filed under the name uncultured bacterium. RNAcentral's name for it is "partial 16S ribosomal RNA". It matches the Rfam family "Bacterial small subunit ribosomal RNA", at positions 28 to 507 of the family's 1533-position model. The record is from RNAcentral.
GAUGAACGCUGGCGGCGUGCCUAAUACAUGCAAGUCGAGCGAACGGACGAGAAGCUUGCUUCUCUUAUGUUAGCGGCGGACGGGUGAGUAACACGUGGAUAACCUACCUAUAAGACUGGGAUAACUUCGGGAAACCGUAGCUAAUACCGGAUAAUAUUUUGAACCGCAUGGUUCAAAAGUGAAAGACGGUCUUUCUGUCACUUAUAGAUUGAUCCGCGCUGCAUUAGCUAGUUGGUAAGGUAACGGCUUACCAAGGCAACGAUGCAUAGCCGACCUGAGAGGGUGAUCGGCCACACUGGAACUGAGACACGGUCCAGACUCCUACGGGAGGCAGCAGUAGGGAAUCUUCCGCAAUGGGCGAAAGCCUGACGGAGCAACGCCGCGUGAGUGAUGAAGGUCUUCGGAUCGUAAAACUCUGUUAUUAGGGAAGAACAUAUGUGUAAGUAACUGUGCACAUCUUGACGGUACCUAAUCAGAAAGCCACGGCUAACUACGUG